Long non-coding RNA from Ahaetulla prasina, 2550 nucleotides. RefSeq lists it as uncharacterized. The record is from RefSeq and is a predicted model, not a curated record. The transcript is spliced from 4 exons. NCBI's taxonomy places the organism in Eukaryota, Metazoa, Chordata, Lepidosauria, Squamata, Colubridae.
CACAGCGUACGAGACUCUCGCUGGCUAAAGGGUCGUUUCCAAUAUUUGAUCGCGUGGAAGGGAUACGGGACUGAUUUCUCCUGGGUAGAUGCCUCCGACGUUCAUGCCCCUGACCUGGUGCAGGCCUUCCAUGAGCAGAACCCAGCCCGACCGCAUCCCGAUCGUCAGCCCCGGGGGAAGGGCCCUGCGGUGAGGGAUAGUGUUGUGACCCAGGUUCCUGGACCCAGACUCCUGGACUCGGAUGAUUCAGAAAAUGAGGGAGAAGACCUGGCAAGCCCUGUUUCUCUUGAGCCCUCUCCCUCCCUGGCACCCACUCAAAGGGAGGGGCCGGCACGGCCUGAUUCUCCCGGGCCUUCUUCUGAUUUGGCAACGCCCCAAGAACAGUUUUGGAGGGACGCAAGAUUACGAAGGCUUGAUCGACGUGCGCAGCAGCGGAAGAGUUGGGACAAAGCCAAGUCAUAAUUGUCAUGCAGUGACAUCUGCAGAGACUAUAAAUAGGAGGCGGGACUUCCUGGUUUUUUGUCUCGGACAAAGCAAUGAAUUUGGCGCGAGCUAACUAUUUCAUGGAGGGAAGAAUAUAUUCGGGUUGCCCCGAAGAGCUUUGUGUUCCUUUUCCUCCUCAUCUGCCAAUGAGUGGGGAACAAAUGGUCCACCGGUUCUCUGGCAGGUGCUUUGGAGAAGAGUUUGACUCCCUUUUUAUUGGGGCAACCCCUGAGAUAUUGGAUUGACUGCUAUCAUGUCUCCCCCAGUCCUUCUUUUCAUUCAACUAGACAUACCCAGUUCCUGCAACCGUUCUUCAUAUGUUUUAGCCUCCAGUCCCCUCAUCAUCUUUGUUGCUCUUCUCUGCACUCUUUCUAGAGUCUCAACAUCUUUUUUACAUUGUGCCACGCUUUUCCUGCCUUGAUUUGCCUGCUGCAAUCCCUGCAAUCAAUUGCAUCAGCUAGCAACUGAAUCUGCCUGCCUGCAAUCAAUCUCACUGGUAAGCAACUGAAUCUGCUUGCCUGCUGCCUGCCUUGUCCCUUUAAUUUGGUAAGUAACCUAAGUUUUUUUUUUGGGGGGGAGCUUUAAAAAUAUAGUUAAUUGGGUUUUUUUUAGGAGUUUUUUUUUUUUUUAAGACAUAGCAAUUUAAAGUUAAGGAAGUUUUAAAUUUAGCUGCUUUUACCUAAAAAUAUAAAUGAAAUAAAAUAAUAAAAUAAAAUAUUCGUGCCGCUUUCUGAGAUUUGGUGUGUUUCUGAAGUGUUUCAUUCUAACUACACAAACACACAAAAUCUCACAAAGCUGUCUGGGGCAUUUUGUGUGGAAAAAGUGUCAAAGUUGGUUUUUGAGCUUUUUGUGGCUGUGUGAGGUUCCUGUUUGUUGCAGGGGCCAUUUUGGGUGAAGUGUAGCUGCUUUUACAUUGUUGAGUCAGUUGUGUUGUGUUGUGUGUGUGUAAAGUGUGAAAGUUGGUUUUUUGGUACCUCUUAUUGUUUUUGUGUAUUUUGUUUAUUAUUUUUACUAUUUAUUAUUAUCGGCCACGCCCACCGGGUCACCUGACCACCAAGCCACGCCCACCAAUUUAAGCCACGCCCACAGAACCGGUAGGGAAAAUGGAUUUGGGUUUGGAGUAGAUGACCUCCAAGGUCCCUUCCAACUCUGUUACUGUUACUGCCUCUGACGGUUGGUCAGUUAGAGGAGGUUUCCCCCUUUUUAAGGAAGUGUGUGAGAGAUGGGGGAUGGAAUCGUUUGUAGGGAAGGCAGAAGAGGGAGGUCUAUUUCAGUGGUGUCGGGUAACGGGAGAUACAGGAGGCAAGGUGGGGCAGGCCAAGGGAAUGUACAGUACGGUGUUUAGUACAGGAGGUAAAUAUUGGCACGAGUUUGGGUUGCUGUGGGUUACGGCAGGUAUCAAUGAAACAUUUGCUUCUGGGUUUAGAAACAGGAGUGGAGAUAAGACUCCUGCUCUCAGGUAGCUUGGUAAAGCCCAAUCAAAGUUCAAGAGAGGACAGGUAACAGGUGUAAAAUUCUCUUUAGAGGUGAAAAAUGAUAAAUUCUGCAGGCUUAGAGCUAGUCGGGAUUAGUGAGAAGGUCUUUCAACAGAAUUAACAUAAUCCACUGCCUUCUAAAGGAAAAUGUCCUUCAGCACGUAGUUUUCCACUUAGGUAACCCUGUUCUGGUAAGUUCUUAUAUCAGUUCAUUUAGUGACCGUUCGAAGUUACAACGGCACUGAAAAAAGUGACUUAUGGCCGUUUCCCCCACUUACAACCGUUGCAGUGUCCCUGGGGUCACAUGAUCAAAAUUCAGAUGCUUGACAACUGACUCGUGUUUAUGACGGCUGCAAUGUCCUGGGGUCAUGUGAUCAUCUUUUGUGACCUUCUGACAAGCAAAAUCAAUGGGGAAGCCAGAUUUGCUUAACAACCAUAUUCCUAACUGAACAACUGCAGUGAUUCACUUAACAACUUUGGCAAGAAAGGUCGUAAAUGGGGGAAAACUCAUUUAAUAACUGCUAUCAUUUAGCAACAGAGAUUCUGAGCUCAGAUGUGAUCAUAAGUCGAGGACUACCUGCAAUGUAUUCCU